UACGUAGGGUGCAAGCGUUAAUCGGAAUUACUGGGCGUAAAGCGUGCGCAGGCGGUUUUGUAAGACCGAUGUGAAAUCCCCGGGCUUAACCUGGGAAUGGCAUUUGGGACUGCAAGGCUUGAGUGCGGCAGAGGAGACUAGAAUUCCUGGUGUAGCAGUGAAAUGCGUAGAUAUCAGGAGGAAUACCGAUGGCGAAGGCAGGUCUCUGGGCUGACACUGACGCUCAUGCACGAAAGCGUGGGGAGCAAACAGG
Molecule: ribosomal RNA, 253 nt
Filed under: uncultured bacterium
Lineage: Bacteria
Description: partial 16S ribosomal RNA
Rfam family: Bacterial small subunit ribosomal RNA
Source: RNAcentral